RNAcentral lists this small RNA (131 nucleotides) under Aeromonas schubertii. Its description in RNAcentral is "RtT sRNA". It matches the Rfam family "RtT RNA". Rfam says of the family: This family represents a bacterial cis-regulatory element known as RtT RNA. The exact function of RtT is unknown although it is thought that it may be involved in changing the cellular response in relation to amino acid starvation. The record is from RNAcentral. Lineage: Bacteria; Pseudomonadati; Pseudomonadota; Gammaproteobacteria; Aeromonadales; Aeromonadaceae.
CUGAUGCUUAUGGAAGGAGGGUGAGAAGCCUCGACCGGUUCGAGCGGAGCGGCUCUGCUGCGACGAACGUCCGAAGGACGCCCCGAAGGGGUGAGCCGCCCUGGCGGCGAAUCAUCCCUCUCUCACCGCCA